RNAcentral lists this ribosomal RNA (435 nucleotides) under uncultured bacterium. Its description in RNAcentral is "partial 16S ribosomal RNA". It matches the Rfam family "Bacterial small subunit ribosomal RNA", at positions 29 to 507 of the family's 1533-position model. The record is from RNAcentral.
CGCGAACGCUGGCGGCAGGCUUAACACAUGCAAGUCGAGCGGGCAUCUUCGGAUGUCAGCGGCAGACGGGUGAGUAACACGUGGGAACGUACCCUUCGGUUCGGAACAACUCUGGGAAACUGGAGCUAAUACCGGAUACGCCCUUAUGGGGAAAGGUUUACUGCCGAAGGAUCGGCCCGCGUCUGAUUAGCUAGUUGGUGGGGUAACGGCCUACCAAGGCGACGAUCAGUAGCUGGUCUGAGGGGAUGAUCAGCCACACUGGGACUGAGACACGGCCCAGACUCCUACGGGAGGCAGCAGUGGGGAAUAUUGGACAAUGGGCGCAAGCCUGAUCCAGCCAUGCCGCGUGAGUGAUGAAGGCCUUAGGGUUGUAAAGCUCUUUUGUCCGGGACGAUAAUGACGGUACCGGAAGAAUAAGCCCCGGCUAACUUCGUG